This is a long non-coding RNA of Felis catus (domestic cat), 1821 nucleotides long. RefSeq lists it as uncharacterized. The transcript has 3 exons. NCBI's taxonomy places the organism in Eukaryota, Metazoa, Chordata, Mammalia, Carnivora, Felidae. The record is from RefSeq and is a predicted model, not a curated record.
GGGGGUGGAGGGGGCGGGGCAGCUCCCAACAAUGAAGAAUUUUUCAGUCCAAAAUAUCAGUAGUGGUGAGAUUGAAACAUCCUGUUUUAGAGGUUGAUACAAUAUAAAGAAUAGACAUUAACAAUAAUAAAAGCGACGGGGGGUUGCUUUAGAAUGAUAUUUCUAGGUACAGGAUUUUGAGUCAAGUCCUAGGUGCAAGUACUUUCUAGCACCAGGAAACCAUGAGCCAUGAAGCAAGAGGUAGCUGAGAGAGCAUGUAGUGAAAGAAUAUGGCUUUUCGGGUCAGCUAAACCUGAGCUUGGAUUCUGAUUCCAACACUUCAGUUUUUUAUAUGGAAAAUGGGAUUAAUGCUCAACUCAUGAAACCGUGGAGAGGAAACUGCUUAGCACAGUGCUGGGACACAGAAACUGCUGAAAUAGUACCUGCCAUUAUUUCAAGGACCUCUCUUAGAGAGGAAGAUACUGAGGCCCACAGAGGCAAAUCAACUUGCCCAACAUUAUAGAACACAUUGAAAGUCUGGAAUAGAAGCCUGGGUCUCUAAAUCCCCAGUCCUGUUGUUUAUGUGAAGUAAAGGCAAUAAAGUGGGAAAUUCUAUAAUAUAAAUGGGCUACAGUUAAUGUUCUGUAGUUGUUUUUGGCUUAAAAUUUUUAUAAAAGUAGUAUAUACUCUUUGGAAAAUUAAGAAAUACAUAAGUGUAUUUAGAAAGUGAAAGUUAUGCCCAUAUAGCCUCCAGAGGUAACCACCAUUAACUUUUUGGAACAUAGUCUCCUUCUUGUUCUCCCUAAGUAUGUAUGUGUAUAUCGAAUCAUACAGACACACAGAGACACAGAUGUAUACACCCUGUCCCAUAAAAUGGCUCUUCUCUUUAUAUUGUUUUUUUUUAAUGUCAAUAUAGAUUGUUCUUUUCAAAAGCUACAUAGUAUUUUACUAUUGUGCCAUAAGUUAUCCAGGCUCUACUGAUCUAUAUUCAGCUUGUUCAUUAGGAUUCUCUUUGUUGAAAUUGGAAGAAUCCCAACUCAAACUAGUCUUAGCUAAAGAGGGAGUUCAUUGUCCCAUUUAGUCAUAUUUGCGGAAGAGCAGGCUGGUGUUAGCCUCAGAGGGUGCCUGCACCCAGAGACCUUAGCGCACUAGAAAUUGCCAUCUCUCCGUGUCUCAUCUCUUUAUCUUAGCAUAAACAGCUUCAUUCAUAGACUAGCUUCACCUCCUGUGUGAGAGACAAAAUUGGAAGUUCCAGAUUCUAUCCUAGCAACUUUCUGACCUAACAGGAAGUAAUUCUUUUCUAUCAGUUCCAAGUGAAAAUAAUUCUGGAGUCACAGCCCCAACAAUCUUACUACCUGAAAAGAAAAUGACUCUUUCCUGGACAAAGACCCUGACUGGUUCAUGUUAGAUUAUGCAUCCACCCUUCUGAAGAAUUAAGUCCUAUUGCUUCUGCCUUCCAUUAUCCUUUUCCACUUCACUCCCAACUUCUGGCUGAAUGGAGCUGCUGCCUUCUUACAUGAUCCAGUAUCCCUGAAUCUGGAGGUAGAAGGGUGGUGAGAUUGAGAGGCUGUGCUUCUGUAAGCUGCUGGAAACCGUGACCCCUCACUAUGGAGAAAGACUGUAGUAGCAGAGCAUGAUGCCAACAUUCCCAGGGAAACAUGUCCUGUCUUGCCAUGGGUCAGGCUCAGUUGGUCAGCUUUUCCUUUGAUUCUGUGAGCUGGCUCACUAUCCAUUCAAUAUUCCACCCAACACACUUUUUUUUUUCUUUUUGCUUAUAGCAGUUUGAAUUGAGUUGUUAUCACAUAAACUCCUCAACUAAUAAAUUUUUAAAAAAAUUUUUAA